RNAcentral lists this transfer RNA (69 nucleotides) under Limnius volckmari. RNAcentral's name for it is "tRNA-Met". RNAcentral also lists the same sequence under 1 other name. Lineage: Eukaryota; Metazoa; Arthropoda; Insecta; Coleoptera; Elmidae. The record is from RNAcentral.
AGAAAGGUAAGCUAAUAAAGCUAAUGGGUUCAUACCCCAUCUAUAGAGGAUUAAGCCCUCUCCUCUCUA